AGGGUAGUAGCUCAAUUGGUAGAGUAGCGGUCUCCAAAACCGUUGGUUGCGGGUUCGAGUCCCGCCUGCCCUGCCA
Molecule: transfer RNA, 76 nt
Filed under: Verrucomicrobiales bacterium
Lineage: Bacteria; Pseudomonadati; Verrucomicrobiota; Verrucomicrobiia; Verrucomicrobiales
Description: tRNA-Trp
Rfam family: tRNA
About the family: Transfer RNA (tRNA) molecules are approximately 80 nucleotides in length. Their secondary structure includes four short double-helical elements and three loops (D, anti-codon, and T loops).
Source: RNAcentral